Molecule: ribosomal RNA, 393 nt
Filed under: uncultured bacterium
Lineage: Bacteria
Description: partial 16S ribosomal RNA
Rfam family: Bacterial small subunit ribosomal RNA
Source: RNAcentral
AUACGGAGGACGCGAGCGUUAUCCGGAUUCAUUGGGUUUAAAGGGUGCGCAGGCGGCCGUGCAAGUCAGCGGUGAAAGCCCGGGGCUCAACCCCGGAAGUGCCGUUGAUACUGCAUGGCUGGAAUGCGGUCGAGGCGGGCGGAACGGGGCGGGUAGCGGCGGAAUGCGUAGAUAUGGCACAGAACGCCGAUAGCGGAGGCAGCUCGCCAGGCCUGCAUUGACGCUCGGGCACGAAAGCGUGGGGAUCAAACAGGAUUAGAUACCCUGGUAGUCCACGCAGUAAACGAUGAUGGCUAACCGCUGGGCUUAUCAGUUCAGUGGCCAAGCGAAAGCGAUAAGCCAUCCACCUGGGGAGUACGACCGCAAGGUUGAAACUCAAAUGAAUUGACGGGG